UUAACUAAAAUAUGUAUUGAGUUGGAACAUUUGCCUACGUUUGCCGCUAGGGGCACUGUUCCAACUCUAUACAAAUUCGAGUUA
Molecule: non-coding RNA, 84 nt
Organism: Bombyx mori (domestic silkworm)
Lineage: Eukaryota; Metazoa; Arthropoda; Insecta; Lepidoptera; Bombycidae
Source: Rfam